GGAGGGGUCGCGUAGCCUGGUAGCGCGCCCGCCUGGAGAGCGGGUAAGCGGUCACAAGCCGCUUCGCGGGUUCAAAUCCCGCCCCCUCCG
This 90-nucleotide transfer RNA is filed under the name Candidatus Sysuimicrobiota bacterium CSP1-3. Its description in RNAcentral is "Armatimonadetes bacterium CSP1-3 tRNA-Ser". It matches the Rfam family "tRNA". From Rfam's summary of the family: Transfer RNA (tRNA) molecules are approximately 80 nucleotides in length. Lineage: Bacteria; Bacillati; Candidatus Sysuimicrobiota. The record is from RNAcentral.